Molecule: transfer RNA, 66 nt
Filed under: Homola orientalis
Lineage: Eukaryota; Metazoa; Arthropoda; Malacostraca; Decapoda; Homolidae
Description: tRNA-Leu
Source: RNAcentral
ACUAUUUUGGCAGAUGUAUGUAUUAAAUUUAGGCUUUAAUUAAAUAGAGUAAUUCUAUAAAUAGUA